This is a long non-coding RNA of Catharus ustulatus (Swainson's thrush), 366 nucleotides long. RefSeq lists it as uncharacterized. The transcript has 3 exons. NCBI's taxonomy places the organism in Eukaryota, Metazoa, Chordata, Aves, Passeriformes, Turdidae. The record is from RefSeq and is a predicted model, not a curated record.
CUCCACUACAAUGACAAAUUUACACCUGCUGGUGGGACAGCGCCUCUGACAGCAAAGGGCUGCAGGCCCAAACUGCGAGAGGGGAAGAGCUGCAGCACCUGCUGACAGACUGAAUCCCUCUCUGAUCCCACAGAAUAAAACUGAAAUCCUGGAAAUCAGUAAAGAAAGCACCAAGCUGCUGAGAAGAGGGGAGGAAGUCCAAGGGAUCCAGUGGUCCUGGUUUCUUUCAUGUUCCACUCCAAUCUCACCCUGAUCUAAUUUCUAAUUUAUCAAUGGAAUACUGUGAUCUGGGAAGAUUUUAAACUACAGUUUUCAAAGUGUCUGAGACUAAAUCUGUAUAAAAAAGCUUUCACUGUUUUAUCAAUA